Molecule: ribosomal RNA, 512 nt
Filed under: Klebsiella pneumoniae
Lineage: Bacteria; Pseudomonadati; Pseudomonadota; Gammaproteobacteria; Enterobacterales; Enterobacteriaceae
Description: bacterial SSU rRNA
Rfam family: Bacterial small subunit ribosomal RNA
Source: RNAcentral
UUGGUGCCUUCGGGAACUGUGAGACAGGUGCUGCAUGGCUGUCGUCAGCUCGUGUUGUGAAAUGUUGGGUUAAGUCCCGCAACGAGCGCAACCCUUAUCCUUUGUUGCCAGCGGUUCGGCCGGGAACUCAAAGGAGACUGCCAGUGAUAAACUGGAGGAAGGUGGGGAUGACGUCAAGUCAUCAUGGCCCUUACGACCAGGGCUACACACGUGCUACAAUGGCAUAUACAAAGAGAAGCGACCUCGCGAGAGCAAGCGGACCUCAUAAAGUAUGUCGUAGUCCGGAUUGGAGUCUGCAACUCGACUCCAUGAAGUCGGAAUCGCUAGUAAUCGUAGAUCAGAAUGCUACGGUGAAUACGUUCCCGGGCCUUGUACACACCGCCCGUCACACCAUGGGAGUGGGUUGCAAAAGAAGUAGGUAGCUUAACCUUCGGGAGGGCGCUUACCACUUUGUGAUUCAUGACUGGGGUGAAGUCGUAACAAGGUAACCGUAGGGGAACCUGCGGUUGGAU